AAAGGAAUUGACGGGGGCCCGCACAAGCAGUGGAGUAUGUGGUUUAAUUCGAAGCAACGCGAAGAACCUUACCGGGGCUUGACAUCCAUAGAACCCCGUAGAGAUACGGGGGUGCCUUCGGGAGCUAUGAGACAGGUGGUGCAUGGUUGUCGUCAGCUCGUGUCGUGAGAUGUUGGGUUAAGUCCCGCAACGAGCGCAACCCUUAUUGUCAGUUGCCAUCAUUCAGUUGGGCACUCUGGCAAGACUGCCGGUGACAAAUCGGAGGAAGGUGGGGACGACGUCAAAUCAUCAUGCCCCUUAUGUCCCGGGCUACACACGUACUACAAUGGCCGUUAACAACGGGGAGCAAUGGCGCGAGUCGGAGCAAAUCCCAAAAAGCGGUCUCAGUUCGGAUUGCAGGCUGAAACCCGCCUGCAUGAAGUCGGAAUUGCUAGUAAUCGCGAAUCAGCAUGUCGCGGUGAAUACGUUCCCGGGCCUUGUACACACCGCCCGU
This 493-nucleotide ribosomal RNA is filed under the name uncultured bacterium. RNAcentral describes it as "bacterial SSU rRNA". It matches the Rfam family "Bacterial small subunit ribosomal RNA", at positions 903 to 1397 of the family's 1533-position model. The record is from RNAcentral.